UCCUCUAGCGAAAUCAUCUCCUCUGGCCUAAACAAUACAAUCUCAGAACCUCUUACUCGCACAAACUAUGUUUUGUGGCGAGCCCAAGCCCGAUCCCAGAUCAUAGGGGCAGGUCUCUUCGGAUACCUUGAUCAAACAAUCCCAGAACCACCAGCCACCAUUACCUCCAAAAACGCAGAAGGAAAAGAUCAAACCAGACCAAACCCACCCUACUCCGCCUGGUUGAUUCAAGAUCAACAGCUUGUGGCAUAUCUGCUCCGCAACUUCUCCAAAGAAGUCCUAGUUCAGGUCGCUUCCCUAGAAAAAUCCCAUGCCAUCUGGUCCUCUCUCGCAAACAUGUUUGUGGCUCAAUCCAGAUCACGUGCAAACAAUUGCCGUGCUGCCCUUUCCAAUGCCCAAAAGGGCUCCCAAUCUGCCGCAGCCUACUUUGGUCAGAUGCGAGUGCUUGCAGAUGAACUUGCCAUGGCUGGAAAGCCGCUUCUCGAGGGGGAGUUAGUCUCUUUUCUCAUCUCUGGCCUCGAUAUGGACUAUCAACCUCUUAUAUCUGCAUUAGAUGUCCGCACCAAGCCUCUCUCCGUUGAUGAUCUGUUUGGCAUGGUGUCGAACUUUGAUCAAAGGGUGGAGAUGUUCCACGGCUCCGGAUCGGGUGCCUUCAAAACAUCCGCCAACGCCGCCUCUCGAGGGCGCAGUGGCUUCUCCAAAGGCAACCGCGGUGGCUUCUCCAAGGGCGGCAACAACAACGGCAACAGCGGCGGUGGCUAUGGUGGCUACCGCGGCGGCGACAACAACAAUCACAGCAACGGUGGCGGCAGCCACCGUGGCGGCGGUGGAAACUAG
This 837-nucleotide ribosomal RNA is filed under the name Triticum aestivum (bread wheat). Its description in RNAcentral is "partial small subunit ribosomal RNA". The record is from RNAcentral. Lineage: Eukaryota; Viridiplantae; Streptophyta; Magnoliopsida; Poales; Poaceae.